CCUACGGGGGGCAGCAGUGGGGAAUAUUGGACAAUGGGCGAAAGCCUGAUCCAGCCAUGCCCCGUGUGUGAAGAAGGCCUUCGGGUUGUAAAGCACUUUCAGUGGGGAAGAAAGCCUUGGGGCUAAUACCCUCGAGGAAGGACAUCACCCACAGAAGAAGCACCGGCUAACUCCGUGCCAGCAGCCGCGGUAAUACGGAGGGUGCGAGCGUUAAUCGGAAUUACUGGGCGUAAAGCGCGCGUAGGCGGUCUGAUAAGCCGGUUGUGAAAGCCCCGGGCUCAACCUGGGAACGGCAUCCGGAACUGUCAGGCUAGAGUGCAGGAGAGGAAGGUAGAAUUCCCGGUGUAGCGGUGAAAUGCGUAGAGAUCGGGAGGAAUACCAGUGGCGAAGGCGGUCUUCUGGACUGACACUGACGCUGAGGUGCGAAAGCGUGGGUAGCAAACAGGAUUAGAUACCCGAGUAGUC
RNAcentral lists this ribosomal RNA (465 nucleotides) under Vreelandella stevensii. RNAcentral describes it as "partial 16S ribosomal RNA". It matches the Rfam family "Bacterial small subunit ribosomal RNA", at positions 338 to 795 of the family's 1533-position model. The record is from RNAcentral. Lineage: Bacteria; Pseudomonadati; Pseudomonadota; Gammaproteobacteria; Oceanospirillales; Halomonadaceae.